GAUGAAGAACGUAGCGAAAUGCGAUAAGUAAUGUGAAUUGCAGAAUUCAGUGAAUCAUCGAAUCUUUGAACGCACAUUGCGCCCGCCAGUAUUCUGGCGGGCAUGCCUGUUCGAGCGUCAUUUCAACCAUCAAGCCCCCGGCUUGUGUUGGGGACCUGCGGCUGCCGCAGGCCCUGAAAACCAGUGGCGGGCUCGCUGUCACACCGAGCGUAGUAGAUUUUCAUCUCGCUCAGGGCGUGCUGCGGGUUCCGGCCGUAAAAAGCCUUAUUUACCCAAGGUUGACCUCGGAUCAGGUAGGAAGACCCGCUGAACUUAAGCAUAUCAAUAAGCGGAGAA
This 336-nucleotide unclassified non-coding RNA is filed under the name soil metagenome. RNAcentral's name for it is "partial contains 5.8S ribosomal RNA, internal transcribed spacer 2, and large subunit ribosomal RNA". The stretch from base 1 to 120 matches the Rfam family "5.8S ribosomal RNA", at positions 35 to 154 of the family's 154-position model. The record is from RNAcentral.